GAUAAACGCUGGCGGCGUGCUUAACACAUGCAAGUCGAACGAAGUUUUUCCUUCGGGAGAAACUUAGUGGCGGACGGGUGAGUAACGCGUGGGUAACCUGCCCUGUACAGGGGGACAACAGCUGGAAACGGCUGCUAAUACCGCAUAAGCCCUUAGCACUGCAUGGUGCAUAGGGAAAAGGAGCAAUCCGGUACAGGAUGGACCCGCGUCUGAUUAGCCAGUUGGCAGGGUAACGGCCUACCAAAGCGACGAUCAGUAGCCGAUCUGAGAGGAUGUACGGCCACAUUGGGACUGAGACACGGCCCAGACUCCUACGGGAGGCAGCAGUGGGGAAUAUUGCACAGUGGAGGAAACUCUGAUGCAGCGACGCCGCGUGAGUGAAGAAGUAUUUCGGUAUGUAAAGCUCUAUCAGCAGGGAAGAAAAUGACGGUACCUGACUAAGAAGCACCGGCUAAAUACGUG
This 462-nucleotide ribosomal RNA is filed under the name uncultured bacterium. RNAcentral describes it as "partial 16S ribosomal RNA". It matches the Rfam family "Bacterial small subunit ribosomal RNA", at positions 28 to 507 of the family's 1533-position model. The record is from RNAcentral.